AAGCGGGGGGGGGGAAGGGGAAGAGAGGUGAAGCGGCAGGGUGGCCCCAACCAUCUCAGCGCCCUACUGCCGCCCGCCCCCCUCUCUCUCCCGCCAGCGGGGUGGUGCUGCUACCCCGCCGCGCGCGGGGCUGCGGCCGCCGGGCGCCCUUUCCCGCCGCGCCGUGCGGCCCCGCCCCAGCAGCCAUGUUUUGGAGGAGGCGUUCGUCGAGGCGGCGGGAGCGUACGGAACAUGCACAGCGGCAGGCAGCGGCCUGCGGGCGCGCACCCCGGCCAGUGGGUGCUCAUUGCACCAGAGGCUGCUAUUGAACCCCCUAAGCCACCUGACAGUGAACCUUUGUUUACAAAACUGCGCAAUCCAAGCACAGGGGAAGCAACGCUUUACUUAUUCAAUAGUGGUGCACAGCAGCUGUUUGAAGUAAAAGUUUAUCAUGAGGACUAUCGUUCCUGGUUUAUAGGUCAGACCGUUCAACAAGAUGGGCGCCUGCUGUUUGUUACACCGAUGGACCCCUUAUUUCUGAUACUUUACUACCUCAUAAAGGCGGACAAGGAGCAGCAAGGAAAGUACCAGCCACUCGAUCAAGUUGUGCUAGACUCGGACUUCCCUAACUGCCCACUGCUACUGAAGUGUGCAGAUGUUAAACAGUACAUACAUCAUGUAACAGAAGAAAAAGAGAUUGGCAGUCAGAAAUUCCACAGAUACAGCCAAGAGAAGACACUGAAGUGGUUAAAGAAAAAGGUCAUUCAAACAGUGAAAGCACUUAAAAGCAACAAUAUAUCUGUAGGUGAAAGGGUACAUGCACCUACAUUUAUCAGUGAUAAACGGAUCACAGAUACUGAUGAAGACUACAUGCGGUAUGCCCAUGGGUUAGUAUCAGACUAUAUUCCUGAAGAUCUGAGCAAAGAGUUGUUAAAAUACUUAGGGCUCCCAGAACUUAAAAGCCCAGCACAAGAGCCACCACUGAAGAAAAGGAAAUUAUCAGAUGUCCCAGUGGAAGCAGAAGACUAUACUAAGUUUAACAGCAGUGAUCUGAAACCCAAAAAGGCAAACAGCAAGAUGUCUGCAGCGCAGAAGGCUCUGGCCAAAGUUGAUAAGACUGGAAUGAAAUCCAUUUCUGCUUUCUUCAGCUCCAAACCUAAAGCAACAAAAUAAAGACUUGUUCUUGAAAGACUUUUAUACAGUGGUUAUUUUUGCAUUUAGCUAAAGAUGUCUCCUGGGUUUUUUCGUUAGUAUAGUAUAUGCAGGACAUGUCUCUGUACACGGUGGAGUGUGAUGUGUAGAGAUCUGUGAGCUGGUGUGGGACAAGCUUUUAUACCUCAGUGGGGCAAGGCACUACCAUGCAGAUGUUCCAGCCUGGGUCAGGAAAACAGCCUAGCUGCAUUAGCAUGGUCCUUUGAGCUGAGAAGCAAGGUGUAGCACAGUACCAUAGUGUACUGCUGCCUGCUCUAGAGUGAGCUCAGUCAAAGCCACCACCAAGUUUUCUCCGUUGCACUCCAUUCUGGGCUGGAAGCAUGCCCUCUUUUGAUGAAUUUUUAAGGAGAGUUUUUUUAUUCAUAAGGAUCAUUAUUUUUUUGGAGGCUUUUUGGAGAUUUUACCCAGUAUAACACCAAGGUAGGAUGGCAUCUUUAGAUUUUUGUGUUCACCCAAAUCUUACUGCUGAUGUAAGCAUUGUAAUUGGUGGCAAUUUAUCAAGGCAAAGAUAGUGUCCAUAGAGGGAUUUCAGUUGUUUUGAAUAUACUAGAAACAAAUUGCAGUAAAUGUCAAUGUGCAUGUAAUGCAAUAAAGUACUUUGUGUAAUAAAUCUGUGCUUGUUGUACUUGCUGUAUGUUUCAAGAGUCAGAUUAGUCUGCAGCACAAUUCUUAAAGGGUUUCAGUGUCUUCCUGUGUAUAAAUUUUAAUCCUAUAAGAAUUACAACAUCACUUUGGGCUUACAUGAUAAAUCUCUUAACACAUAGCAUUAUAGGGGUAUUUUUAUGUUGAGUUCCAAGGUCAGUAGGUCCUUACAAAAAUAAUAGGGGACAGAUUUAUUUAAAGGCAAAACUGGGGCUUUUAAAGAAGCCUGUUUGGAGCUGGAUGUGUAAUUCAAAAGCUUACGUAUGAGUGUCUUGGAUAAGAUUUAUUUGGUGGAUUUUUGCACAAGAUAGGACUGUUUUUUAAAAUGUACUACUUGCUCUUGGGUGCGUUCUUUCCCUAUUGCAGAUUAUUCCUAUAUAUUCAGGGGGACAGCUGUCUGCUAUGUGGCAGCUUCUGUGACAAAAAGAGAUGGAGUCACUGGGAUCAUUUGUAUAAGUUUUACCAGUUCUGCACACCACUAACUCAGUUUCAUCCAUCAGUUGUUGCACUGAGCUAUUACAGUGGAUCAACUACAAUAUGUGUUUUAGAAAGACAAUUUUAAAAUAAUGUUAUUUGCUACUUCGGCUCAGUAGAGAAUCUGCCUGUAUUCUUUGAUAGUGAGGAGUUUCUUCAUUUUUAGUAACUAUGCCGUUUUUCUGCUUCAGACUUCUUGCUGCUGUUUACAAUCCAUGGAUUAGAGUGGUGUCUGUUAGGUUAAAGAGGUCUGUGAUAUUUUUUUCCAACCAGAAAUGAAUGAGAAGGCUUGCUGUAUGUUGUGCCCAGUUUUGCAAUUGUUGUUGGAGUUUGUCUGCAUUCCAAACCAGUGGAUUUUUAAAGUUUCAGGCAUAGUUUGUAAAUGGGAAAGUCAGUAUGGUUGGAAAUCCAGAUAGAGGAGAAUAUUUGGAAAUCUAUGGAAUUAUUGCUUACAGAAAUUUAUUUAAGAAAUGUGGAUAACCUUCCAGUAACAUACAGCUAAUAUUUCUGAUUCUAAAAAUGUUUGUCUGAGGUGGAUUAUCAAGAGCCAAAAUGAAAAUAAAGUUCCUUAGAAAAAAACUGCUUUUCGGGCAUUAUAAGGAAUCACUACUGUAAGUCUUCCUUAUCUCUGAAAAUCAGCCUGUAGUACUGGAGUUUGAACAUAGGUUGAGAAGCAUGUGAUUCACAUGAAUAGACUUUGUUGAUUUAGUUAGAAUCAUUAUCUCAAGCCAUUUGGUGCUUUAAUAAAAUUCCAAUAAUGAACGUCAGCUUUAUGGAACAGUAUAAGGUAGUGGGGAGCAGUAGGAACUACAAAAAAAAAAUCCCAGUAAUUGCUACGUGAAGCCAUAGAGAAGUUCCUGUUGUAGCACACUGCCUUGCUGAUUUCACCAGCCCUAUCAGUAAAGUUUCCUUUUCUGAAAUUAGCCAUCAGACAAGUUUAAAAAAUAAUAGCAGGUGUCAGUGUAUGUGAUGAUUUGUAAGCGCACCACCUUUAGUAUUGCCAUCUUGCUUUUUUCCUACCUUGCUUGUCUAGGCUAUAAGUGAAGAUCAGCCCUGUAGCAGCUCAUAGAAUCAUCAGGUUGGACAGGACCCGCCGGAUCAUCAAGUCCAACCAUACAUAUUGAUUUUUCCAAUGGAUCCUUGCUCUGAUUGGAAAGAGCUACCUUUUGAUGCCUGCGCAAAAACGUGCGAAGAAGAAAUGAAAGGAGCAUAAGGAGACUCGCUAAUAUUAUUUUAACUUGCUGUAAUCUCCAAGCAGCUUUUAAAGGCUUUUUUUACGCACUUUCUGAAAGUAAGUGCUUGGAGUUAGACAUGCCCUGUUCCAAGGAAAAACAAAUCUCAGCAGAUUAACAUUAUUAAAUAUGCGGUGUGUUAAACAUACACUGCUUCAAAUUUUAUAGCUUAUACGCUAUUGGUCUAUCGGGCCCUUCCAGGAAAGCACUUACGAGCAUGCCUAAUGUUAAGCACAUGAGCAGUGAUCUUAAAGUCAGCAGUGUUGUUCGUGUGGAUAAGUGCUUUGUUGGAUCAGCGCCUAAAGUACUGUUAGGUGCUGAGCAUCCUGAUCCAUAUCCAGCAAAGCACUUAGGUUCCUGCUUAUCUUGAAGUGGAAGAGCCAGUCUAACUAAUAUUUGUGCAUUAGUGUUCACCAUAAAAUCUCUCAUGGCACAACGACUCACAUGCUUAAAAUUAAGCACCUGCCUAAGUAUUUUGCAGGGUCACACCAACAACAGCCCUGAGCAAGUCUUAAAUAAUUAUUUGAUUUUGUGUGAAUUUCUUUUUUUUGUGGUUUUUUUUUUAACAGAGUAUAUGAUUUUAGUGGCGAUAAUUGUAAGAUUUAGAAGCUGCAUAGCAAAAUACUGUAUGAAAUUUUCUCCUUUCUUUUUCAAAAUCUAGUCAAAUUCAGCAAGGUAGCCACUUUGGACUGGAAUUUCAAUGUUCAGACUUAGAAUAAUAUAAAAUGGGGGAAAAAAAGUUAAUUCUAUUUUUUAGCACAUUUAUGGCUUUUUUUAAAUUGAUUUCCUGAGUUUGAUUUAAAUGGCUUUGUCCAGUUCUGACCUUUUAUCCAGACGUCAGCCAGCUUUCAUGUGGACAGUCUGCUGUGAAGUGCUAAAGCUUGAGGUAGGAUGUGUGUUCAGAAGAGCAGAUGGAGAAGCUUUAUUUUUAUUUUACUUCUUUUUUUUCCAAGACAUUGAAACCUUAGAAACAUGUAUAAGAUAAGGUAUACAUUUUGUGUUAAAAACUAAACCAAAACCUGUGUAGUCAGGUAAAAAAACCCACCUAAUUAUUUCUUAAUCAUGUAAGACACACUUUCUAUGGAAGGAACUUCAACCAAAAUGUCAACUUGAGCAUGCAUAAAGCACGCAGAAAACGGAUGCUAAGGCGAUCCUUAAGGGAUCUGUGUCAGAUGCAGUCUAUGUUUUUAACUUGAUAACCUGUUCAUCAAACUACCGUUAAUAUCUAACUCUUUGCUACACAACAUUUUAAAAGUGAUAACUUAAUGAAUGUGUACUUCUGUAAAUUUUAACUGUGAUUCCAGUUCACAGGUUUCAAACCUUGAAUAUAUUUGAAGCAUUCUAGAUAAGGAGUAAAAAAAAAAAAUAUUUUGCUUCCACUCUGGCAAAUUCUUCCUAACUUCAGGUCAAACAAGAGCUCCAAGAAGAGUUUGUGAGGACAUUGCUGAAAAUUAAUUUCAAGAUGAAGAUGCAAUACUUUAUUCAACUUUCUUUUCAACUGAUUCUGAUCAACUCUUUCAGAAUAUGAAAACACUGAACCAGUAACCAUUUAGAAGUCAUAGAUGAAAGGAAAUGUAAUCUUAAUGCUUACUCUAGAAAUUUGCACUGAAUUCUUAUUGUUACUUUGAUGCUUGUCUGGUUAAGCAAUGCACACUAUCCCUUAUCAAGGAAAAAAUGUUUAUUUUAACAUAGUUUCCCCAGGCAGUACUGCAAGAAUAUUAUAUGGGUCCAAGAUGAAAUGUCUA
RNA transcript from Cuculus canorus (common cuckoo), 5284 nucleotides. It is a transcript of the gene named ribonuclease H2 subunit B, with no coding region annotated. The record is from RefSeq and is a predicted model, not a curated record. Lineage: Eukaryota; Metazoa; Chordata; Aves; Cuculiformes; Cuculidae. The transcript is spliced from 12 exons.